Molecule: ribosomal RNA, 405 nt
Filed under: uncultured bacterium
Lineage: Bacteria
Description: partial 16S ribosomal RNA
Rfam family: Bacterial small subunit ribosomal RNA
Source: RNAcentral
GAUGAACGCUGGCGGCGUGCCUAAUACAUGCAAGUCGAGCGAAGCGGGGAUGGGUGAGUAACACGUGGAUAACCUCCUAUAAGACUGGGAUAACUUCGGGAAACCGGAGCUAAACCGGAUACUAAUAGAUGGAUCCGCGCUGCAUUAGCUAGGUGGUAAGGUAACGGCUUACCAGGGCAACGAUGCAUAGCCGACCUGAGAGGGUGAUCGGCCACACUGGAACUGGUACACGGUCCAGACUCCUACGGGAGGCAGCAGUAGAGAAUCUGCCGCAAUGGGCGAAAGCCUGACGCAUCAACGCCGCGUGAGUGAUGAAGGUCUUCGGAUCGUAAAGCUCUGUUAUUAGGGAAGCGGUACCUAAUCAGAAAGCCACGGCUAACUACGUGCCAGCAGCCGCGGUAAUUC